Molecule: ribosomal RNA, 253 nt
Filed under: uncultured bacterium
Lineage: Bacteria
Description: partial 16S ribosomal RNA
Rfam family: Bacterial small subunit ribosomal RNA
Source: RNAcentral
UACGGAGGGUGCAAGCGUUAUCCGGAUUCACUGGGUUUAAAGGGUGCGUAGGUGGGCAGGUAAGUCAGUGGUGAAAUCUCCGGGCUUAACCCGGAAACUGCCGUUGAUACUAUCUGUCUUGAAUGUAGUGGAGGUGAGCGGAAUAUGUCAUGUAGCGGUGAAAUGCUUAGAUAUGACAUAGAACAUCGAUUGCGAAGGCAGCUCGCUACACUAUGAUUGACACUGAGGCACGAAAGCGUGGGGAUCAAACAGG